AGUUUGAUCAUGGCUCAGAACGUACGCUGGCGGCACGCCUAACACAUGCAAGUCGAACGAAGUAGCAAUACUUAGUGGCAGACGGGUGAGUAACAUGUAGGUAUCUGCCCUUUGGCCUGGAAUAACACGAGGAAACUUGUGCUAAUACCGGAUAAGUCUUUACNGAGAAAGCUUUAUGCACCAUUGGAUGAGCCUGCACUUGAUUAGUUUGUUGGUAGGGUAAUGGCCUACCAAGACUGUGAUCAAUAGCUGAUUUGAGAGGAUGAUCAGCCACAUUGGGACUGAGACACGGCCCAAACUCCUACGGGAGGCAGCAGUGGGGAAUCUUGCACAAUGGAGGAAACUCUGAUGCAGCGAUGCCGCGUGAGUGAAGAAGGCCUUUGGGUUGUAAAGCUCUUUCGUCGGGGAAGAAAAUGACUGUACCCGAAUAAGAAGGUCCGGCUAACUUCGUGCCAGCAGCCGCGGUAAUACGAAGGGACCUAGCGUAGUUCGGAAUUACUGGGCUUAAAGAGUUCGUAGGUGGUUGAAAAAGUUGGUGGUGAAAUCCCAGAGCUUAACUCUGGAACUGCCAUCAAAACUUUUCAGCUAGAGUUUGAUAGAGGAAAGCAGAAUUUCUAGUGUAGAGGUGAAAUUCGUAGAUAUUAGAAAGAAUACCAAUUGCGAAGGCAGCUUUCUGGAUCAUUACUGACACUGAGGAACGAAAGCAUGGGUAGCGAAGAGGAUUAGAUACCCUCGUAGUCCAUGCCGUAAACGAUGUGUGUUAGACGUUG
RNAcentral lists this ribosomal RNA (770 nucleotides) under uncultured bacterium. Its description in RNAcentral is "bacterial SSU rRNA". It matches the Rfam family "Bacterial small subunit ribosomal RNA", at positions 10 to 825 of the family's 1533-position model. The record is from RNAcentral.